Non-coding RNA from Ictidomys tridecemlineatus (thirteen-lined ground squirrel), 71 nucleotides. Lineage: Eukaryota; Metazoa; Chordata; Mammalia; Rodentia; Sciuridae. The record is from Rfam.
GUGAUUGUAGCUCAGAGGUAGAGUACUUGCCUAGCACGAGUAAGGCACUGGGUUCAAUUCCCAGCACCACA